Molecule: transfer RNA, 97 nt
Filed under: Acinetobacter baumannii
Lineage: Bacteria; Pseudomonadati; Pseudomonadota; Gammaproteobacteria; Moraxellales; Moraxellaceae
Description: tRNA-Met
Rfam family: tRNA
About the family: Transfer RNA (tRNA) molecules are approximately 80 nucleotides in length. Their secondary structure includes four short double-helical elements and three loops (D, anti-codon, and T loops). Further hydrogen bonds mediate the characteristic L-shaped molecular structure. tRNAs have two regions of fundamental functional importance: the anti-codon, which is responsible for specific mRNA codon recognition, and the 3' end, to which the tRNAs corresponding amino acid is attached (by aminoacyl-tRNA synthetases). tRNAs cope with the degeneracy of the genetic code in two manners: having more than one tRNA (with a specific anti-codon) for a particular amino acid; and 'wobble' base-pairing, i.e. permitting non-standard base-pairing at the 3rd anti-codon position.
Source: RNAcentral
GGCUAUGUAGCUCAGUUGGUUACCGCACUCANCAGUUGGUUAGAGCACCGCACUCAUAAUGCGGGGGUCACAAGUUCAAGUCUCGUCAUAGCCACCA